CGGCCGCAGCGAUUGGGCGGUGGUGUGGGAGCCCCGGGCACCGGGGAGAACACGUGCUGUUCUGCGCCUUCUUUGGGAUGCAUCACGCGGCUCCCGAGCCCAGACUUCGUCCAGGCCGGCGGGAAGGGGUCAGCGGAGCCGCUAGCUGCCUCUUUGUGCCCCGCAACCCCGCGGGCGGUUGAUUUCCACCUGUGGGCGCUGGGGACACGCGACCGGAAGAAAUGGAAGAGAAAACGGGGUUCGGGGAGGGAGGAAAACUUCUAAGCCAGGCGAUCGUCCAGUUCUCUCUCCAAGAGACUGGAAAUUAACUUUAUGAGGAUCAUAAGGAAGGGAAUGACCUCUAGACAGCCGCCUUCUAAUUGUGAAACGGGGGAAGAUCUUGGACCUGGUCUCUGGAGCGCUCCCUAUCUUAACCAAGUCACUUACUCUAGCAGGUCUCAGGUUCUUUGUCUGUAAAAUGAGGGUGUAAAAUAAUGAUCUUUCUAGACCCUACGAGCUCUGAAGGAUCUCUGAUUGGUGGAGAUCACCCAAGACCCGGAGCUGAUGCAAAACAUUACCUACCAUUCCCUUGUCUGAAAAGCCACAUCAACUUUCUUUUUUCAAAAACUAUAUUUUUAGUAUGUGUAAAGUAAGUUUGGAGUAAAUACUUUCAAGUCCUUUUCAAGGUCAAAACAAAAACUAAUUCUGUGACUACAAAUGUAUGCUUUUUUUUUUUUUUUUGAGACAGAGUCUCGCUCUGUCCAAAUGUAUGCAUUUUUAAUGGAGUAAAUUAAAAAAAAAAACCUUUGUUUAAAAUUUACUUUCAGCAAAAGUCAGCAUUAUUUUUUCAACUUAAAACCUUUUUGGGUUUUAAGUUGAAACAGGUUUUUUAGCUGUCUGGCCCAAAUCCAAAAUACGUAUAUCUUGGUGGGGAACUUCAAUUUGUCUCUGCCAUAAGACAAACGAAUGUCCUGAUACUUUUUGAUUCUUUAACAAAAUUAUCCUUGUAUUCUUAGGUUUAUAUAUUCACUAACAUUUAACAUAACACAAAUCUGUUACGUGAAUUAAAGACACACAAAGGCAUUUUUACCAGUGUUUGGAAGUUUGUGAAUAGUAAAGGGGAACAGGCCAAAAUUUCAUGCGUUGAGGAUAUAAGUAAAACAGAAAGUGCAAAAAUGUAAACUACACAAACUCAAUCUCUUGUGGAACAAUUAGAAAACUAAUAAUACAUUUUACUCUUGAAUGUUGAUAUUCCACUCGAAGUUUGGUUGGUUGCUAAGCUUAAGGAUAAACACUAUGAAAAAUGUGAAGACAGAAGGGCUGGCCAAACACAGCUGAUUCGGCAGCAAAUCACACAUUAAAUCACAGUGGCAUGUGAGUCGGUUUAUUCAAAUUGCUGUUAAAAGAUAUUCUUAGAGUAAGUUUAGGAAAAUAAGAGUCAUUUGGCGAUGCAGAGAGGAUUUUGUCUACAGUGGAAUCCAGACUCCGGUGAAAGUUCUCAUUCCUUCAGGACCUGGGAGCUAACAGCUCCGGACUUUCUUGUGCUCCACUGUGCUGCCUAUGUUGUGUGCUUCCCAAAUGGCAUUAUUCCCACCAGCUCUUCCAGAGUGAGUUCUGCCCAUUCUGUAGAAGAAACAGUAGCGGAAAAAUUAAACAAUAUCUUUGCUCAA
This 1649-nucleotide long non-coding RNA is filed under the name Homo sapiens (human). RNAcentral describes it as "novel transcript". The record is from RNAcentral. Lineage: Eukaryota; Metazoa; Chordata; Mammalia; Primates; Hominidae.